GAUGAACGCUGGCGGCGUGCCUAAUACAUGCAAGUCGAGCGAACAGACGAGGAGCUUGCUCCUCUGACGUUAGCGGCGGACGGGUGAGUAACACGUGGAUAACCUACCUAUAAGACUGGGAUAGCUUCGGGAAACCGGAGCUAAUACCGGAUAAUAUAUUGAACCGCAUGGUUCAAUAGUGAAAGACGGUUUUGCUGUCACUUAUAGAUGGAUCCGCGCCGCAUUAGCUAGGUGGUAAGGUAACGGCUUACCAAGGCAACGAUCCGUAUCUGACCUGAGAGGAUGAUCAGCCAAACUGGAACUGAGACACGGUCCAGACACCUACGGGAGGCAGCAGUGGGGAAUAUUGGACAAUGGGCGCAAGCCUGAUCCAGCCAUACCGCGUGGGUGAAGAAGGCCUUCGGGUUGUAAAGCCCUUUUGUUGGGAAAGAAAAGCAGCAGGUUAAUACCCCGCUGUUCUGACGGUACCCAAAGAAUAAGCACCGGCUAACUUCGUG
RNAcentral lists this ribosomal RNA (497 nucleotides) under uncultured bacterium. Its description in RNAcentral is "partial 16S ribosomal RNA". It matches the Rfam family "Bacterial small subunit ribosomal RNA", at positions 28 to 507 of the family's 1533-position model. The record is from RNAcentral.